Molecule: long non-coding RNA, 408 nt
Filed under: Nicotiana benthamiana
Lineage: Eukaryota; Viridiplantae; Streptophyta; Magnoliopsida; Solanales; Solanaceae
Description: long non-coding RNA (NBEN_LNC034989)
Source: RNAcentral
GCGAGCUUAGCUUGUUGAGCUUGUAUAGUAGGUCCUAAGGAGAGAACCAUGCUGCACGUAGGUCAGAUCAAUUUUGGCCAAAGUCCAAAUGAUUCGCUCAAUUCGCCUAAGGUUGGGUUGGUUAUUGAUCCGAUUAUUUAUUGAGCUUAGCCUAUCUUGACCCAAACAUUUCAACCCAAUUAAAGUUGGGCUAAUUUUUAGUCCAAAUUGAUCUGUGAGUAAGUUUGUCAAAAUAUCUUAUAAAUAAUUUUCUUUUUUUGUUUAAUAUUUUAAAUAUGACCAUAACAAAAGCAAAAAAACCUUAUUUAGUAAAUAUACAAUUUAUAAGAAAAUAACACAUUUUAGUUAAAGUUUAAUAAGAGUUGGGCGGGUUGGUUUAUGACCCGAAUUUUAACCCAUCUUGACCCA